RNAcentral lists this ribosomal RNA (600 nucleotides) under uncultured Gammaproteobacteria bacterium. RNAcentral's name for it is "bacterial SSU rRNA". It matches the Rfam family "Bacterial small subunit ribosomal RNA", at positions 54 to 649 of the family's 1533-position model. The record is from RNAcentral. Lineage: Bacteria; Pseudomonadati; Pseudomonadota; Gammaproteobacteria.
CAUGCAAGUCGUGCGAGAAAGUAUCUUCGGAUAUGAGUAGAGCGGCGGACGGGUGAGUAACGCGUAGGAAUCUACCUAGUAGAAGGGGAUAGCCCGGGGAAACCCGGAUUAAUACCGUAUACCUCCUUCGGGAGAAAGAAGGCCUCUCUUUGAAGCUUUCGCUAUUAGAUGAGCCUGCGUAAGAUUAGCUUGUUGGUGAGGUAAAGGCUCACCAAGGCGACGAUCUUUAGCUGGUCUGAGAGGACGAUCAGCCACAUUGGGACUGAGACACGGCCCAGACUCCUACGGGAGGCAGCAGUGGGGAAUAUUGGACAAUGGGCGCAAGCCUGAUCCAGCCAUACCGCGUGUGUGAAGAAGGCCUUCGGGUUGUAAAGCACUUUAAGCAGGGAGAAAAAGUUAUAAGUUAAUACCUUAUAACCGUGAUGUUACCUGCAGAAUAAGCACCGGCUAAUUCCGUGCCAGCAGCCGCGGUAAUACGGAAGGUGCAAGCGUUAAUCGGAAUUACUGGGCGUAAAGCGCGCGUAGGUGGUUUGUUAAGUUGGAUGUGAAAGCCCUGGGCUCAACCUAGGAACUGCAUCCAAAACUAACUCACUAGAGUAC